GAUGAACGCUGGCGGCGUGCCUAAUACAUGCAAGUCGAGCGAACAGACGAGGAGCUUGCUCCUCUGACGUUAGCGGCGGACGGGUGAGUAACACGUGGAUAACCUACCUAUAAGACUGGGAUAACUUCGGGAAACCGGAGCUAAUACCGGAUAAUAUAUUGAACCGCAUGGUUCAAUAGUGAAAGACGGUUUUGCUGUCACUUAUAGAUGGAUCCGCGCCGCAUUAGCUAGUUGGUAAGGUAACGGCUUACCAAGGCGACGAUGCGUAGCCGACCUGAGAGAGUGAUCGGCCACACUGGAACUGAGACACGGUCCAGACUACUACGGGAGGCAGCAGUAGGGAAUCUUCCGCAAUGGGCGAAAGCCUGACGGAGCAACGCCGCGUGAGUGAUGAAGGUCUUCGGAUCGUAAAACUCUGUUAUUAGGGAAGAACAAAUGUGUAAGUAACUAUGCACGUCUUGACGGUACCUAAUCAGAAAGCCACGGCUAACUACGUG
This 497-nucleotide ribosomal RNA is filed under the name uncultured bacterium. RNAcentral's name for it is "partial 16S ribosomal RNA". It matches the Rfam family "Bacterial small subunit ribosomal RNA", at positions 28 to 507 of the family's 1533-position model. The record is from RNAcentral.